This 429-nucleotide ribosomal RNA is filed under the name Gemmatimonadota bacterium. RNAcentral describes it as "Gemmatimonadetes bacterium partial 16S ribosomal RNA". It matches the Rfam family "Bacterial small subunit ribosomal RNA", at positions 355 to 776 of the family's 1533-position model. The record is from RNAcentral. Lineage: Bacteria; Pseudomonadati; Gemmatimonadota.
UAGGGAAUCUUCGGCAAUGGACGAAAGUCUGACCGAGCAACGCCGCGUGAGUGAAGAAGGAUUUCGGAUCGUAAAACUCUGUUGUUAGAGAAGAACAAGGACGUUAGUAACUGAACGUCCCCUGACGGUAUCUAACCAGAAAGCCACGGCUAACUACGUGCCAGCAGCCGCGGUAAUACGUAGGUGGCAAGCGUUGCCCGGAUUUAUUGGGCGUAAAGCGAGCGCAGGCGGUUUCUUAAGUCUGAUGUGAAAGCCCCCGGCUCAACCGGGGAGGGUCAUUGGAAACUGGGAGACUUGAGUUCAGAAGGGGAGAGUGGAAUUCCAUGUGUAGCGGUGAAAUGCGUAGAUAUAUGGAGGAACACCAGUGGCGAAGGCGGCUCUCUGGUCUGUAACUGACGCUGAGGCUCGAAAGCGUGGGGAGCAAACAGG